UACCAUUAUCUGAAUGAUACCAAGUCACAGGUAAAAGCAGUUCUUUAAAUUCCUACCUUCCCUUUGGUAUUGGUCAAUCAUUAAACAGGUAAUGUCACUGGGUAACCAUUAGACAGGUGUAAGUGCUGUUUAAUCAUUAAUCAGAUAACAACACUGCUUAGACAUUAGAGGGGGUUGUGCCUUUGGUUAUCCAUUAGCCAGGAAGCUGAUUGACUGUUCCACGAAGGGUGCAGGAGCAGCAGAACUUGCUUAGUCAGAAGAGUGAUAAGCAAUGAGUUCCAAACAGCAAUGUGUGAAACUGAAUGAUGGCAACUUCAUCCCUGCGCUGGGCUUUGGCACCUACAAACCAGAAGAGGUUAAUGAAAAUAAGCCACUGGAGGCUAUCCAUUUAGCUCUAGAGGCUGGGUUCCGCCAUAUUGAUACUGCUUAUGUGUACCAAACUGAAAAUCAUGUAGGGCAGGCUAUUCGAAGCAAGAUUGCAGCUGGCCUUGUGAAAAGAGAAGACAUAUUCCUCACUACAAAGCUUUGGUGCACUUUCCAUAGGCCAGAGCUGGUUCGCUCUAACUUGGAGAAAUCUUUGAAAAACCUGCAGCUGGAUUAUGCUGACCUCUAUCUUAUACAUUAUCCCGUGCAAAUGAAGCCAGGGGAAGAUCUGUUUCCAGAAGAUGAGCAUGGAAAAACAUUAUUUGACACAGUGGAUAUAUGUGCCACAUGGGAGGCCAUGGAGAAGUGUAAGGAUGCAGGAUUGGUCAAGUCCAUUGGUGUGUCCAACUUUAAUAGCAGGCAGCUGGAGAAAAUUCUGAAUAAGCCUGGGCUCAAAUACAAGCCUGUUUGCAACCAGGUGGAAUGCCAUCUCUACUUGAACCAGAGGAAGCUGUUGAACUACUGCAAGUCAAAGGACAUUGUUCUAGUUGCCUACUGUGCUCUUGGAUCUCAACGACCUAAGCGAUGGGUAGACCCAAGCUCUCCAGUUCUCUUGAAUGAUCCAAUUCUUUGUGACAUGGCAAAAAAGCACAAGCGAAGUCCAGCUCAGAUUGCCCUUCGCUAUCAUCUCCAACGUGGAAUUGUGGUUCUUGCCCAGAGUUACAAAGAGAAUGAGAUAAAAGAGAACAUACAGGUGACCAGAGAGGCUGCAGACAUUGGCCUCCUACAUGCUAUCUCACUAUCUUUCCUCUAUUUUCUUCUCUGAAAUCUCUCAGGGCAUUUUUCUUUUCUGAGUCAAUCUCUUAGCAUUGCUUACACAUAUGAGACUUCAUUUGCAUUCAGAAGUGCUCUGUACUAAACACAAAUGUCAAGUUAACUUGAUAGAAUUAGUUUUAGGGAGAGCACAGAGAUUUAGGAUUCAGCGUGAAGUCAGCCAUGCACUUGUGAACAGCUCCUCUGCAAGGGAUCUCUUUAUUGCUUGCUGAAAUGAGAGUGUAAGUUUGGAUAGAUAUUUUGAUAUGACAAUCUUUGAUGCUUUAUUUUGUACUUGGCCUGCAUAGUCACAUAUUUUGCUUAAUUUUGUUUAUUCAUUUUUAAGUUUAUGUGUAUAAAUCUUUUGGCUGAAUAUAUGUACAUGUACCGUACACAUUCCUGGUGCCCACAGAGGCCAGAAAAUGGUAUCAUAUACCCCAGAACUGGAGGUGUGGAUGGUCGUGAGCAACCCUGUGGGUACUAGGGAUCAAAUUUGCCCAAAAAGAGCAGUUAGUGCUCUAAAUUACCAAGCCAUCUCUCCAGGCCUGUGCUCACACAUUUUAAUAUGAUUAUAUUUCUUUCUAGCUUCCCUAGCUAAGUGCAUAUUAUUUUCUUGAAGACUUACCUAUGCAGAUGAUCUUUUAUUUUCAACUACAAGAACUAUGUUGUACUAUUACCUAAAGUAGUUGCAAAGUGAACAAGUUCCAACAUAGAGCUUUAAUAUAAAGAGUCUUAUUUAGUUCAUUUGUCCAUGAUCUUAAAUUCUUUUUUAGUUUGGCCUGAAUACAGAGGCAUAUCUCUAGCUGGGAUUCACUCAGAUAUGUUCAUAAAACUGUUGUAUAUGUUUGCAAGAUGAUGAGGUCCAUCUACCUCAGGAUUCAGUUUGUCUCUGAUGUUCUUUAACUUCAAAUAAUUUUCAUUCAGUGGCCAAAUGGCAUAAGCUUCACCUCUCCACGUGUUCUCCUUCAAGUCACUGAGUAGAUAUUUGCAAAGAUUUUAAACUUAGGCCAAUAAUUAUUAUUAUAUCAUUUUCUCCUGCUAAUUUGUAGAGGUUAAUGUAAGCUAUAAAGCAUUAAGAGCUGGGAGAUAGCUCAGUGCUAAAACUCUUGCCUAGCAACCAUGGGACUGAUUCUCCAGAACUCUUAUAAGAUUCCAAGUGGAUGUGGUGCUCUCCUCUAUCUCCAGCCUUGUCGGCAGACAGGGGAUCCCCAGAAUAAUCCGGCAGGUGAAAAUAGCCAUAUUGGUGAGCUCUGAUCUGAUGGAGAGACCCUCCCCUAGGAAAUGAGGUACAAUUGCUAAGAGGAUGAAGCCUGAUAAAAACCUCAGGUUUGCACACACACACACACACACACACACACACACACACACACACCCAUGCAAACAAGAAUAAACAUAUACAUUCAUACAUAUAUUUAUUCAUUCACUCAAUAUAUAUAUUCAUGAGCUAAAGCUCUUCUUUUUAUUGUGAUUAUUCCUUUACUUUGUGGUUAAAUAUGUUCUUUCUUCAUUAAGAAUAGAAUGCUAUAUGCCUUUUUUGUUUACAGAUGUGUUACAAACUCUUCUUUAAUGGAAGUACAAUUAAUGAAGUCAUGUAAAGUAAAAAUUCAAAAAACACUUAAGUAAUUUUCUAAAUGUCUAUGUGGUGUUGCCUGCAAGAAUACUUAUAUCCAUGGAUUUUCUCUGUCUUAUUUAUGCUCACCCUUUCUCAAAUUAUGUUGGAAUAUCAGUCUUGCUGAACAAAGUGACAAUCAUUUUGAUCUACCUUCUUGUAUUUAAAAAUAGGACAAAUUACUUCAACAGUAUGGAUGUUUAAACAAGACCUGGAUAAGAGAACAGUACCAAAAGUCACUCCUACAUGAUGGGCAGAGCUCUCAUGAAGGGGCAUCCUUAGACAGAGAGCUGGAGGCAAUUAACGUUUUCUAAGAGUCUAAGAGCAAAAGAAUGUCUUGCUUAGGAUAAGCUCCUUAAUUGCUCAUUCAGUACCAACUAGUUAGACACUGAAUCACAUAUAUACAAGCAACACUAAGUGUUGUGGCUGGCCAGCGGCUCACAUGUCUGGGUUCUAACCUGGGAGGCAUUCUGGAAUCUGGAAGAGAAGAGGGAGCUAGGCGGCGCGAGAGAGAGGGAACCAAGACAACCGUCUGAUCAAGGUUCAAUUUUACUAUUCCGGACACUGGGUUAUGAAGCAGGGGAAGGGGCCCACUCCCGCCAAGUCAUCCUGGGAGUCCAGUUGCAGGUAUUUGAAUUUGAGCUGCCUUCAGAGGAUAUGAAAAUCCUAGAUAGCCUGGACAGAAAUUUAAGAUAUGCACCUGCUCCAUUUGGAGAGGGUCACCCAGAAUAUCCCUUUUCUGAUGAAUUUUAGUGUAGAGACCUGUGUCAUGACUUCUACGCACAGCUCAAAGUGUCUUUAUAAGGAUUGUGGUGUGUGUGACAUAUCAGAUGAUGCAGAUUCAGCAUGUGUCACUUCUGCUCAGUCUGAGCCGCCUGACAACCCUCCUUCAGCCAGAGCUGUGUCCACCAGUCCGGAACAUAAGUCACUACAUUUUCAUCAUUCUUUGACAUUGUUGUAAUACUUGUUAUAAAGAUCUUUCUUUGGUCAGGAU
Mus musculus (house mouse) is the source of this 3779-nucleotide RNA transcript. It is a transcript of the gene named aldo-keto reductase family 1, member C19, with no coding region annotated. The record is from RefSeq and is marked validated. NCBI's taxonomy places the organism in Eukaryota, Metazoa, Chordata, Mammalia, Rodentia, Muridae. The transcript has 9 exons.